Molecule: ribosomal RNA, 434 nt
Filed under: uncultured bacterium
Lineage: Bacteria
Description: bacterial SSU rRNA
Rfam family: Bacterial small subunit ribosomal RNA
Source: RNAcentral
GAUGAACGCUAGCGGCAGGCCUAACACAUGCAAGUCGAGGGAGAAGCCCUUCGGGGCAGAAACCGGCGCACGGGUGCGUAACGCGUAUGCAACCUACCUUUCACAGGGGGAUAGCCCGAAGAAAUUUGGAUUAAUACCCCAUAAUAUUAUUGGAUGGCAUCAUUUGAUAAUUAAAAUUACGAUGGUGAAAGAUGGGCAUGCGUCCUAUUAGCUAGUUGGAGUGGUAACGGCACCCCAAGGCUACGAUAGGUAGGGGUCCUGAGAGGGAGAUCCCCCACACUGGUACUGAGACAGGGACCAGACUCCUACGGGAGGCAGCAGUGAGGAAUAUUGGUCAAUGGUCGGAAGACUGAACCAGCCAUGCCGCGUGCAGGAAGAAUGCCUUAUGGGUUGUAAACUGCUUUUAUAUGGGAAGAAUAAGGCGUACGUGUACG